UAGGGAAUAUUGGUCAAUGGGUGAGAGCCUGAACCAGCCAUGCCGCGUGCAGGAAGACGGCCUUCUGGGUUGUAAACUGCUUUUAUCUGGGGAUAAAAUGACCGUGCGCGGUUAAUUGAAGGUACCAGAUGAAUAAGCACCGGCUAACUACGUGCCAGCAGCCGCGGUAAUACGUAGGGUGCAAGCGUUGUCCGGAUUUAUUGGGUUUAAAGGGUGCGUAGGCGGCUCGUUAAGUCAGUGGUGAAAUACA
RNAcentral lists this ribosomal RNA (250 nucleotides) under uncultured bacterium. Its description in RNAcentral is "partial 16S ribosomal RNA". It matches the Rfam family "Bacterial small subunit ribosomal RNA", at positions 355 to 603 of the family's 1533-position model. The record is from RNAcentral.